This 500-nucleotide long non-coding RNA is filed under the name Pan troglodytes (chimpanzee). Its description in RNAcentral is "long non-coding RNA NONPTRT004065". Lineage: Eukaryota; Metazoa; Chordata; Mammalia; Primates; Hominidae. The record is from RNAcentral.
GGAAGCUUUAAUGAACACCACAGAAAUAUUCCUUCACCAGUCGUAUGGCUAUGCACAUGUGAGAGGGACACAGGAGGAGACAGGGAUGCUGACCACAGGCUCCUUGCAGUAGGUGGACUCAGGGGCCAGACUGUAAUGGCAGUGAUGGACAUGGAUUCACAGGGAGAAAGGCAUCCCAGAAGCAGAAGAAUUAGUCAAGCAGAGACACAGAAGCAAGAGUUAGUUGUGUGCAGGGACUGGCAAGCAGGCUGGCUCGGCUGAGAUAAAGGAAAAAAAAAAAAAACAACUCAAAAGAGAUGCGGUAUAAAAGAGGAUUUGAAUGGAGACCUUGAAUCCUAGGCUGACAAGUCUGGACUUGAGUACAAAGAUAUAUUGUAACAUUUUCCUGAGCCACCGUUUGCCUGUAAGUAUGGUAUACUCUAGGAUGCCUGGGCUUAUAUGACUUCUCAGAACCUUAGAGAAGGUUCUGCUUUUUAGGGCUUCUGGUUCCUAUAUGACUC